Molecule: unclassified non-coding RNA, 386 nt
Filed under: Hevea brasiliensis (rubber tree)
Lineage: Eukaryota; Viridiplantae; Streptophyta; Magnoliopsida; Malpighiales; Euphorbiaceae
Source: RNAcentral
GGUGUGUUCCAACAAUCACAAAUCUUACAAAACAGAAAACUGAUAAAAUUUGAGUCAAGAAUUAUUGAGCGCGCCCACGAUGUUUGCAAAUAAUGAAUGAACCAAGAAAGCUAUCUAGAUAUAUAACAAAAUAAUUCUUCUCCUACCCCGUGAAUCGAUACAUAUCUAAUCUUCCAAGUAUCAAAAUCAAUAGCUGAAUAUAGGCAUGAUGUUUUCUCUGGGUUUUUUAUCAAAUGAGGCCAGUAUAAGGAUUAUAGGCGGUUUGUACAGGCAUACCGGGGCCGUAUGGAUUGGCAGCUGCUCCAUAAGGGUUGGCAAAGGGAUUUGCAUUCGGUUGUUGUUGGGGAGUCAUCAUCAUCAUGUGUUGUUGUUGUUGUUGCUGUUGU